The sequence is a ribosomal RNA, 395 nucleotides long. It matches the Rfam family "Eukaryotic small subunit ribosomal RNA", at positions 582 to 975 of the family's 1831-position model.
AUUCCAGCUCCAAUAGCGUAUAUUAAAGUUGUUGCAGUUAAAAAGCUCGUAGUUGGAUUUCUGGUGGGGCUGUCGGCCUGGCUCCGAAAGGGGUCGUGGUUAGUACACGCCUGGCCAUCCUCGGGGGAAGCUUUGCUGGCAUUAAGUUGUCGGCGGAGUGACGCUCGUCGUUUACUGUGAACAAAUUAGAGUGUUCAAAGCAGGCUUAGGCCGUUGAAUACAUUAGCAUGGAAUAAUGAGAUAGGACUUUGGUGGUCUAUUUUGUUGGUUUGCACGCCGAAGUAAUGAUUAAUAGGGGCGGUUGGGGGUAUUCGUAUUCAAUUGUCAGAGGUGAAAUUCUUGGAUUUAUGGAAGACGAACUACUGCGAAAGCAUUUACCAAGGAUGUUUUCAUUG